UAGGGAAUCUUCCGCAAUGGGCGAAAGCCUGACGGAGCAACGCCGCGUGAGUGAUGAAGGUCUUCGGAUCGUACAACUCUGUUAUUAGGGAAGAACAAAUGUGUAAGUAACUAUGCACGUCUUGACGGUACCUAAUCAGAAAGCCACGGCUAACUACGUGCCAGCAGCCGCGGUAAUACGUAGGUGGCAAGCGUUAUCCGGAAUUAUUGGGCGUAAAGCGCGCGUAGGCGGUUUUUUAAGUCUGAUGUGAAAGCCCACGGCUCAACCGUGGAGGGUCAUUGGAAACUGGAAAACUUGAGUGCAGAAGAGGAAAGUGGAAUUCCAUGUGUAGCGGUGAAAUGCGCAGAGAUAUGGAGGAACACCAGUGGCGAAGGCGACUUUCUGGUCUGUAACUGACGCUGAUGUGCGAAAGCGGGGGGAUCAAACAGG
Molecule: ribosomal RNA, 429 nt
Filed under: Actinomycetes bacterium
Lineage: Bacteria; Bacillati; Actinomycetota; Actinomycetes
Description: Actinobacteria bacterium partial 16S ribosomal RNA
Rfam family: Bacterial small subunit ribosomal RNA
Source: RNAcentral